Molecule: ribosomal RNA, 465 nt
Filed under: uncultured bacterium
Lineage: Bacteria
Description: partial 16S ribosomal RNA
Rfam family: Bacterial small subunit ribosomal RNA
Source: RNAcentral
GACGAACGCUGGCGGCGUGCUUAACACAUGCAAGUCGUACGGUAAGGACCUUUCGGGGGUACUCGGGUGACGAACGGGCGAGUAACAAGUGAGUAACCUGCCUACCCCUUACGGAGAACGAUAGGCUACUGACGCCAAUUCUGGCUGUGUGUUUCUGCUGCAUGGAGGGGGUUGGCAAGCUACGGCGGUUGUGGUUGGACUCGCGGCCUUUCCGCUUGUUGGUGGGGUAGUGGCCUACCAAGGCGGUGCCGGGGCGCCGGCCUGGGGGGGUGGCCGGCCACAAUUGGGCUGGGAAACGGCCCAGACUCCUUCGGGAGGCAGCAGUGGGGGAUAUUUCACAAAGGGCGGAAGCCUGAUGCAGCAACGCCGGGUGCGGGGUGACGGCCUUCGGGUUGUAAACCGUUUUCAGCAGGGACGGAACUUUUUGUGACGGUACCUGCAGAAGAAGCACCGGCUAACUACGUG